RNAcentral lists this ribosomal RNA (999 nucleotides) under Conlarium sichuanense. RNAcentral describes it as "SSU rRNA". It matches the Rfam family "Eukaryotic small subunit ribosomal RNA", at positions 52 to 1066 of the family's 1831-position model. Lineage: Eukaryota; Fungi; Ascomycota; Sordariomycetes; Conlariaceae. The record is from RNAcentral.
UGAUGUCUAGUAUAGCAUUAUACCGCGAAACUGCGAAUGGCUCAUUAAAUCAGUUAUCGUUUAUUUGAUAGUACCUUACUACUUGGAUAACCGUGGUAAUUCUAGAGCUAAUACAUGCUAAAAAUCCCGACUUCGGAAGGGAUGUAUUUAUUAGAUUAAAAACCAAUGCCCUUUGGGCUCACUGGUGAUUCAUGAUAACUUCUCGAAUCGCAUGGCCUUGCGCCGGCGAUGGUUCAUUCAAAUUUCUGCCCUAUCAACUUUCGACGGCUGGGUCUUGGCCAGCCAUGGUGACAACGGGUAACGGAGGGUUAGGGCUCGACCCCGGAGAAGGAGCCUGAGAAACGGCUACUACAUCCAAGGAAGGCAGCAGGCGCGCAAAUUACCCAAUCCCGACACGGGGAGGUAGUGACAAUACAUACUGAUACAGGGCUCUUUUGGGUCUUGUAAUUGGAAUGAGUACAAUUUAAAUCCCUUAACGAGGAACAAUUGGAGGGCAAGUCUGGUGCCAGCAGCCGCGGUAAUUCCAGCUCCAAUAGCGUAUAUUAAAGUUGUUGCGGUUAAAAAGCUCGUAGUUGAACCUUGGGCCUGGCUGGCCGGUCCGCCUCACCGCGUGCACUGGUACGGUCGGGCCUUUCCCUCUGGGGAACCGCAUGCCCUUCACUGGGUGUGUCGGGGAACCAGGACUUUUACUUUGAAAAAAUUAGAGUGUUCAAAGCAGGCUUAUGCUCGGAUACAUUAGCAUGGAAUAAUAGAAUAGGACGUGCGGUUCUAUUUUGUUGGUUUCUAGGACCGCCGUAAUGAUUAAUAGGGACAGUCGGGGGCAUCAGUAUUCAAUUGUCAGAGGUGAAAUUCUUGGAUUUAUUGAAGACUAACUACUGCGAAAGCAUUUGCCAAGGAUGUUUUCAUUAAUCAGGAACGAAAGUUAGGGGAUCGAAGACGAUCAGAUACCGUCGUAAUCUUAACCAUAAACUAUGCGAACUAGGGAUCGGACGAUGUAUU